AGAAGACAGACCCCUCCAGGAACCAGCGAUGGAGCAAUCGCAUCCCCCGGCAAGGCUCACCAGGACUAGCUGACUCCGGGGCAGGGGUCAAGGGUCAGGAAUGGGUCCAGCUGUGCGCCUGGAAAGGACCCAGCGUGCCCACGCUCCCGGCAAGCCAGGGCUCAAACAUCCCCAAAGGGCGUCCGGGCUGAUGACGAUAGUUCCCAAUCGCCCUCCAGACGCACACUGGCUGGAACAACCGCAGGGACUUCCCUGACCGACCCGGCGUUUGCUCAGCUUUGAAUUCCCGCUCUGUAGAUCUGUCGCAAUUUAACCAGAGGUCACCCUGAAGAGGGUAUCAGAAUCUCUGGGACUGGAGUUACAGAUGUUUAUAAGCCACCAUUGCAUGGAACUGUUUGAGAAAGAUCGGAGGAUGUGCCCUUUUGGAGGAGAUG
RNAcentral lists this long non-coding RNA (434 nucleotides) under Mus caroli (Ryukyu mouse). Its description in RNAcentral is "lncRNA (MGP_CAROLIEiJ_G0013648.1)". The record is from RNAcentral. Lineage: Eukaryota; Metazoa; Chordata; Mammalia; Rodentia; Muridae.